AGAGUUUGAUCCUGGCUCAGAUUGAACGCUGGCGGCAGGCCUAACACAUGCAAGUCGAACGGUAACAGGAUGUGCUUGCACAUCGCUGACGAGUGGCGGACGGGUGAGUAAUGCUUGGGAACUUGCCUUUGCGAGGGGGAUAACAGUUGGAAACGACUGCUAAUACCGCAUAAUGUCUUCGGACCAAACGGGGCUUCGGCUCCGGCGCAAAGAGAGGCCCAAGUGAGAUUAGCUAGUUGGUAAGGUAAAGGCUUACCAAGGCGACGAUCUCUAGCUGUUCUGAGAGGAAGAUCAGCCACACUGGGACUGAGACACGGCCCAGACUCCUACGGGAGGCAGCAGUGGGGAAUAUUGCACAAUGGGGGAAACCCUGAUGCAGCCAUGCCGCGUGUGUGAAGAAGGCCUUCGGGUUGUAAAGCACUUUCAGUUGUGAGGAAAAGUUAGUAGUUAAUACCUGCUAGCCGUGAC
This 468-nucleotide ribosomal RNA is filed under the name Alteromonas sp. EF4A-B118. RNAcentral's name for it is "bacterial SSU rRNA". It matches the Rfam family "Bacterial small subunit ribosomal RNA", at positions 8 to 479 of the family's 1533-position model. The record is from RNAcentral. Lineage: Bacteria; Pseudomonadati; Pseudomonadota; Gammaproteobacteria; Alteromonadales; Alteromonadaceae.